RNAcentral lists this ribosomal RNA (301 nucleotides) under uncultured bacterium. Its description in RNAcentral is "partial 16S ribosomal RNA". It matches the Rfam family "Bacterial small subunit ribosomal RNA", at positions 509 to 809 of the family's 1533-position model. The record is from RNAcentral.
CAGUAGCCGCGGGAAUACGUAGGUGGCAAGCGUUGUCCGGAAUUAUUGGGCGUAAAGGGCUCGCAGGCGGUUUCUUAAGUCUGAUGUGAAAGCCCCCGGCUCAACCGGGGAGGGUCAUUGGAAACUGGGAAACUUGAGUGCAGGAGAGGAGAGUGGAAUUCCACGUGUAGCGGUGAAAUGCGUAGAGAUGUGGAGGAACACCAGUGGCGAAGGCGACUCUCUGGUCUGUAACUGACGCUGAGGAGCGAAAGCGUGGGGAGCGAACAGGAUUAGAUACCCCUGUAGUCCCUGUCUCUUAUAA